AUGGUGCAGUUCGCAGCAGCAGACCUCCGCCAAGUUAUGGACAAGAAAAAUAACAUUCGUAACAUGUCUGUGGUUGCUCAUGUGAACCAUGGCAAGUCCACGCUUAUAGAUUCUCUUGUCAUAGCUGCUGGGAUUGUUAGACAGGAGGCUGGUGAUGUUCCCAUGACUGAUACCCGUGUAGAUGAAGCAGAGCGUCGUAUUUCCAUCAAAGCCACCGGAAUCUCUCUUUUGUAUGAAAUGAAUGACGAGUCACUCAAGGCUCACAAGGGGGAGUACUUGAUUAACCUUAUUGAUUCACCUGGGCACGUUGAUUUUUCUUCUGAAGUCACAGCUGCUCUUCGUAUUUCUGAUGGUGCUCUGGUGGUAAUUGAUUCUAUCGAGGGUGUCUGUGUGCAAACUGAAAGUGUGCUGUGCCAAGCUCUUGGUGAGAUGGUUAGGCCUGUACUUUGUCUGAAUAAGAUGGACGAAUUAUUUCCUGGGCUUCAAGGUGAAGGUGAGCAAACAUACCAGAUUCUGAACAAUGCCAUUCAGAAUGCCAAUACCAUUGUGGCAACACAUGGAGACGCCCGCCUUGGAGAUGUCCAGUUCUACCCUGAGAAGGGAAAUGUGACAUUCUCUGCUGGAUUACACGGCUGGGCUUUUACGCUGACUAGCUUUGCUAAGGUGUAUGCUCCGAAGGUGGGUGUGGAAGAAUCUUAUAUGGUUAAGAAGCUUUGGGGCGACAACUUUUAUGACCACACCACAAAGAGAUGGACCAAGGAGAAGACCCGUUCCAAAACUUGUAAAAGAGGAUUUGUCUUGUUCAUCUAUGAUCAAAUCGAGAGAAUGAUCCAAGCCUGCAUGGAGAAUCAGAAAGAUGAAUUGUGGAGAAUGUUGCAGAAGGUUGGGGUGAACUUGAGGGAUGAUGAGAAGAACCUAACAGGCAUGGCUCUUGUGAAGUGUGUCAUGCAAACUUGGCUCCCAGCCAGUACUGCUCUGCUUGAGAUGAUGAUCUUCCACCUCCCCUCUCCAUUACAAGCACAGAAAUAUCGUGUGGAGAACCUGUAUGAGGGCCCCCUUGAUGAUAAAUACGCAGAAGCUAUUAAAAAUUGUGAUCCUGAAGGUCCUCUUAUUCUGUACGUUUCCAAGAUGGUCCCAGCAUCUGAUGUGGGCAGCUUCUUCGCGUUUGGUCGUGUCUUCUCUGGAAGGAUUGCAGCUGGCAUGAAGGUCCGGGUCAUGGGGCCUUCCUAUGUCCCCGGGCAUGCAACUGAUUUAUACGUGGAGUCUGUCCAGCGUACCAUUAUAUGGAUGGGAAAGAAGCAAUGUGACGUUCCGGAUGUUCCUUGCGGUAAUACUGUUGGAUUGAUUGGUCUGGAUGCAUGCAUAACAAAGAGUGCUACCCCGACAAGCGAGAAGGAGGUUGUUGCACGCCCAAUCAGAGCGAUGAAGCUCUCUGUAUGCCCUCUGAUGUUUGUUACAGUUAACUGCAAGGUUCCGUCUGAGUCUCCCAAACUUGUACAAGGUUUGAAGCGUCUGGCGAUGUCUGAUCCUGUGGUUCUUUGGAGCCAGGUAGAGCCUGGUACCUUUACGGUUGCUGGAGUGGGAGAGCUUCAUUUGGAAAUUUGCUUGAAGGAUCUACAGGAAGACUUUAUGGAUGGUGUUGAAGUUGUUGUUUCCAGUCCGCCUGUUGCUUCCUUCCGUGAGACUGUCCGCAAGUCUUGUGAUCCUGUGGAGAGGAAGUCCAGAAACAAGCAAAUCCAAUGCAGCUUGUCUGUGGUAGCCCGCCCCUUGGAUGAAAACCUAAUCGAGGCUAUUGAAGAUGGUCGCUUGGGUCCACGUACUGACCAUGCGGUACGAUCUGAGAUCCUUGCUAAGCAUGGUUGGGAUAAGGAUCUCGGUGAUAAGAUUUGGUGCUUUGGUCCUGAUGCUGUUGGCCCGAAUGUGAUUGUUAAUAGGUGCAAUAUAAUACAGAAUCUGGAGUUAGCGAAGAAAGUUAUCGUGGCUGGCUUUGAAAUGGUGGCAAAAGAAGGCGCAUUGGCAAAAGAAAAGUUGCAUGGCAUAUGCUUUGAGGUUCAUAAUGUUAAUAUACGUGCUGAUGAAGCUGUGAGAGGUACAACUGCUCAGCUCAAUGAGAUGGUUAGGACAGCACUUAUCGAGUCUCAGCUCGCCGCCAAGCCAAGGCUUCUCGAACCCACCUACAUUGUGGCGAUCCAGUGCCCUAAGAGUGCCCUCAGCACUAUCUACGGAAUUCUCCACCAGAGGAAUGGUUCUGUGUAUGAGGAGUUUGUGAGAGAAGGCACGAUGCUACACAUCCUGAAGGCUUACGUUCCAGUUUAUGAUUCCUUUGGCCUCUCCAAGGCAAUCAGUGCUGCAACAUCUAAGCUGGUCACCCCGCAGUGUAUUUUUGGAUAUUGGAGCGACAUGUGCUCUGAUCCUUUCCAGGCAAAUGCGCCAGCUGGGCAAAUGGUCUUGGAUAUCCGCAAGAGGAAGAAGAUGGGCAGGCCCUCUUUCCAGAAGUAG
RNAcentral lists this ribosomal RNA (2499 nucleotides) under Triticum aestivum (bread wheat). RNAcentral describes it as "partial small subunit ribosomal RNA". Lineage: Eukaryota; Viridiplantae; Streptophyta; Magnoliopsida; Poales; Poaceae. The record is from RNAcentral.